RNAcentral lists this ribosomal RNA (1134 nucleotides) under Cestoplana rubrocincta. RNAcentral's name for it is "partial large subunit ribosomal RNA". It matches the Rfam family "Eukaryotic large subunit ribosomal RNA", at positions 151 to 1095 of the family's 3401-position model. Lineage: Eukaryota; Metazoa; Platyhelminthes; Polycladida; Cestoplanidae. The record is from RNAcentral.
AGACCGUGCUUUGUGCUGUUACGUCUUUCCUCAAGUCCACUUGAUUGUGGCUUCAGGCCCAGAGAGGGUGUAAGGCCCGUGGAGGCAAGAUGUUCGGCACCCGGCGCGUUCUUAGAGUCGGGUUGUUUGGGAAUGCAGCCCAAAGUGGGUGGUAAGCUCCAUCCAAGGCUAAAUACUAGCACGAGUCCGAUAGCGAAGAAGUACCGCGAGGGAAAGUUGAAAAGAACUUUGAAGAGAGAGUUCAAGAGUACGUGAAACCGCUGAGAGGCAAACUGGUGGAGCUGAAAUGGUCUCGAGGAAUUCAGCCGUUUGUGAGACGACAGUUGUCAGUUGUGAGAUUUAACGACUCCUCUGGCUGCUGAUUGUUUUGCGAUAGGUGCACUUUCCUCGGUGAUCGGACCACGACCGGCGAGCUGUGUUGUCUAGCGUGCUUGGAAGGUAGCGUCCUCUUCGGAGGACGUGUUAUAGACAAGCGCAUGGAGUGACUGGCGCGCUGUAUUGAAGUGCCUGCCCUCGUUGGCUCGUACGUUGGUUGCUUUGCGGAUAACUUUGGCUUCACUGCUUCGGCAGAGCGGUUGAGGUUGUUUGCAUUGCGGUCGGCCUCUGCGAUUGGCAUGGAAAGUCUUGUGGUUGUGAAGUAGGUAGUCCACCUGACCCGUCUUGAAACACGGACCAAGGAGUCUAACAUGUGCGCAAGUCAUUGGGUUCUACGAAACCUAAAGGCGCAGUGAAAGUGAAGAUCCGCUUUUGCGGAUUGAGGUGGGAUGCUGGGCUACGCGCUCAGCCGCACUACCGGCCCGUUCCACAUGUAUCUCAUGGGGGCGGAGCAAGAGCGUACACGUUGGGACCCGAAAGAUGGUGAACUAUGCUUGCGCAGGUCGAAGCCAGAGGAAACUCUGGUGGAGGACCGCAGCGAUUCUGACGUGCAAAUCGAUCGUCAAACGUGAGUAUAGGGGCGAAAGACUAAUCGAACCAUCUAGUAGCUGGUUCCCUCCGAAGUUUCCCUCAGGAUAGCUGGCACUCGGGAAAUUAAACAGUUUUAUCCGGUAAAGCGAAUGAUUAGAGGUAUUGGGACGAAACUGCUCUCAACCUAUUCUCAAACUUUAAAUGGGUNAGAUGCUCGACUCGCUCAAU